CUUUUACAAUGAAGAGUUUGAUCCUGGCUCAGGAUGAACGCUAGCUACAGGCUUAACACAUGCAAGUCGAGGGGCAGCAUUUUAGUUUGCUUGCAAACUGAAGAUGGCGACCGGCGCACGGGUGAGUAACACGUAUCCAACCUGCCGAUAACUCCGGAAUAGCCUUUCGAAAGAAAGAUUAAUACCGGAUAGUAUACGAAUAUCGCAUGAUAUUUUUAUUAAAGAAUUUCGGUUAUCGAUGGGGAUGCGUUCCAUUAGUUUGUUGGCGGGGUAACGGCCCACCAAGACUACGAUGGAUAGGGGUUCUGAGAGGAAGGUCCCCCACAUUGGAACUGAGACACGGUCCAAACUCCUACGGGAGGCAGCAGUGAGGAAUAUUGGUCAAUGGGCGCGAGCCUGAACCAGCCAAGUAGCGUGAAGGAUGAAGGCUCUAUGGGUCGUAAACUUCUUUUAUAUGGGAAUAAAGUUUUCCACGUGUGGAAUUUUGUAUGUACCAUAUGAAUAAGGAUCGGCUAACUCCGUGCCAGCAGCCGCGGUAAUACGGAGGAUCCGAGCGUUAUCCGGAUUUAUUGGGUUUAAAGGGAGCGUAGGUGGAUUGUUAAGUCAGUUGUGAAAGUUUGCGGCUCAACCGUAAAAUUGCAGUUGAAACUGGGAGUCUUGAGUACAGUAGAGGUGGGCGGAAUUCGUGGUGUAGCGGUGAAAUGCUUAGAUAUCACGAAGAACUCCGAUUGCGAAGGCAGCUCACUAGACUGUCACUGACACUGAUGCUCGAAAGUGUGGGUAUCAAACAGGAUUAGAUACCCUGGUAGUCCACACAGUAAACGAUGAAUACUCGCUGUUUGCGAUAUACAGUAAGCGGCCAAGCGAAAGCAUUAAGUAUUCCACCUGGGGAGUACGCCGGCAACGGUGAAACUCAAAGGAAUUGACGGGGGCCCGCACAAGCGGAGGAACAUGUGGUUUAAUUCGAUGAUACGCGAGGAACCUUACCCGGGCUUAAAUUGCAACAGAAUAUAUUGGAAACAGUAUAGCCGUAAGGCUGUUGUGAAGGUGCUGCAUGGUUGUCGUCAGCUCGUGCCGUGAGGUGUCGGCUUAAGUGCCAUAACGAGCGCAACCCUUAUCUUUAGUUACUAACAGGUCAUGCUGAGGACUCUAGAGAGACUGCCGUCGUAAGAUGUGAGGAAGGUGGGGAUGACGUCAAAUCAGCACGGCCCUUACGUCCGGGGCUACACACGUGUUACAAUGGGGGGUACAGAAGGCGGCUACCUGGUGACAGGAUGCUAAUCCCAAAAACCUCUCUCAGUUCGGAUCGAAGUCUGCAACCCGACUUCGUGAAGCUGGAUUCGCUAGUAAUCGCGCAUCAGCCAUGGCGCGGUGAAUACGUUCCCGGGCCUUGUACACACCGCCCGUCAAGCCAUGAAAGCCGGGGGUACCUGAAGUACGUAACCGCAAGGAGCGUCCUAGGGUAAAACUGGUAAUUGGGGCUAAGUCGUAACAAGGUAGCCGUACCGGAAGGUGCGGCUGGAACACCUCCUUUCU
RNAcentral lists this ribosomal RNA (1536 nucleotides) under Bacteroides ovatus. Its description in RNAcentral is "bacterial SSU rRNA". It matches the Rfam family "Bacterial small subunit ribosomal RNA". The record is from RNAcentral. Lineage: Bacteria; Pseudomonadati; Bacteroidota; Bacteroidia; Bacteroidales; Bacteroidaceae.